UUCCUCUUAAAAAGCAAAUAAUAAUCAAAAUAAUAAAUAAUAAAAAUAAGACAGCUUUUAGGAGAACAUUUUUUUAAAGUACAAAGCUAAAUUAAAUAACAAAAAAGCCAAUUGUGGCUGGAAAAUAAUAUGGGUAAAAUUAAAGUAAUAACUACUACAAGUUACAUCACCAAAAAUUAUUAAAUUAAUAAUGAAAAUAGCAACAUUCAGCUUUUGAAAAUAAGCUAGCCACAUCAAUGUACUUUCGAGAUUGAUCCAGCCAUACCAUUGCACUUUCCUGUAUUACCAAACAAUAACAAUGUACUUUUAAUUACUAGCUAGCAAUAGCUUUGCACUUACCUGAAGCAAACCACAAAAAUCAUAUACAAAGCUAAAAAUUUCGAGCCAAAGAGAGGAGGAAUAAUAGCUCAAACAGAGGGGAAAUCAGAUACCAAAAUCCAAUAGGUCUUUAAAAGACUUUGAUUUUUUUUUUUUUUUUCGUAAUAAAAAAGAGAAGAAAUAAAGCAGAUUUUUGAAACAAACCUAAAUAAGUAGAUUUCGAACUCAAAGAGAGAAGAAAUCGAGUCUAAUAAAACAUGAACAACCAUAAACGACAAGAAACAAUCUGAUUUCCGAAACAAAUAACAAAAACCCUAAACAUAAAUCACAUCAGAAAUUAGAAUGAGAAGUCAGAAUAAGAGAAAUUCAACCCACCCAAAUUAGAAUCGUUGUAUCAGAAUCACAAUAUCUCGGACCUAGAAGGCUUGAACCGAGAUCUUUUAACCAGAUUAGAAAUAUCAGAAAUCACAAACUAGAACUUGAAAACUAUAGAAAUUGGAGUAUUUAGAAACCAAAAAUCAGAGAAAUUGACUGAAAGCGAAAAAUACAAAUGCCACAUCUUACUUUUAUUUAUAGGAGACGCAACUUCUAGGCAUCCAAUCGACAACAUGUUUCCAAGUGUCGAAAGACGUUUCGAUUUUCUAUGGGAAAUUGAAGACGAUUAGUGGUUGUUUGGCGCUAAGUUUUCAUUGCCCUGCUCCUCCUCAAGUAUUAUUCUAUCAGAUAACAAAGACAUGUUUGGGCCAUAU
This 1067-nucleotide long non-coding RNA is filed under the name Lactuca sativa (garden lettuce). RNAcentral's name for it is "long non-coding RNA (LSAT_LNC005766)". The record is from RNAcentral. Lineage: Eukaryota; Viridiplantae; Streptophyta; Magnoliopsida; Asterales; Asteraceae.